Molecule: ribosomal RNA, 292 nt
Filed under: uncultured bacterium
Lineage: Bacteria
Description: partial 16S ribosomal RNA
Source: RNAcentral
GGACUACCGGGGUUUCUAAUCCUGUUUGCUCCCCACGCCUUCGCGCCUCAGUGUCAGUUAAGAUCCAGGUUGUCGCCUUCGCCACUGAUGUUCUUUCCGAUAUCUACGCAUUUCACCGCUACACCGGAAAUUCCACAACCCUCUAUCUCACUCAAGUCGACCCGUUUUCGACGCAAUUCCCAGGUUAAGCCCGGGGAUUUCACAUCAAACCUAGUCAACCACCUACACGCCCUUUACGCCCAGUCAUUCUGAUUAACGCUUGCACCCUCUGUAUUACCGCGGCUGCUGGCAC